RNAcentral lists this ribosomal RNA (406 nucleotides) under uncultured bacterium. RNAcentral describes it as "partial 16S ribosomal RNA". It matches the Rfam family "Bacterial small subunit ribosomal RNA", at positions 30 to 526 of the family's 1533-position model. The record is from RNAcentral.
AUUGAACGCUGGCGGCAGGCCUAACACAUGCAAGUCGAACGAGUGGCGGACGGGUGAGUAAUGUCUGGGAAACUGCCUGAUGGAGGGGGAUAACUACUGGAAACGGUAGCUAAUACCGCAUACCAUCAGAUGUGCCCAGAUGGGAUUAGCUAGUUGGUGGGGUAACGGCUCACCAAGGCGACGAUCCCUAGCUGGUCUGAUAGGAUGACCAGCCAAGCUGUAACUGAGACACCGUCCAAACUCCUAGUGGAGGCAGAAGUUGGGAAUAUUGCACAGUGGGCGCAAGCCUGAUGGAGCCAUGCCGCUGGUAUGAAGAAGGCCUUCGGGUUGUAAAAUACUUUCAGCGGGGAGGCGUUACCCGCAGAAGAAGCACCGGCUAACUCCGUGCCAGCAGCCGCGGUAAUAC